GCUAAAACAGAGGGUUUGGACUUCAUUCUAAAGCUGAGUUUUUUUUCCGGCGUGUGCCUACUGGGCAGGUAUGAAGACAUGAAGACAUUCACAGUUUUCACUGGCAGGUGCCGCCGCAUGCAGGCUCUCUUCUUGACACCAUUUCCACACUCCAUCUCUUUUUGCUGAGUGCCAAGCAGAGAAGCAGUAUGUACCAUUUUUUAAGGCUUUGGUAUGACCUGGCCGGUUGAUCUUAUAU
Priapulus caudatus is the source of this 238-nucleotide long non-coding RNA. RefSeq lists it as uncharacterized. The transcript has 3 exons. Lineage: Eukaryota; Metazoa; Priapulida; Priapulimorpha; Priapulimorphida; Priapulidae. The record is from RefSeq and is a predicted model, not a curated record.